This 358-nucleotide unclassified non-coding RNA is filed under the name soil metagenome. RNAcentral's name for it is "partial contains 5.8S ribosomal RNA, internal transcribed spacer 2, and large subunit ribosomal RNA". The stretch from base 1 to 120 matches the Rfam family "5.8S ribosomal RNA", at positions 35 to 154 of the family's 154-position model. The record is from RNAcentral.
GAUGAAGAACGCAGCGAAAUGCGAUAAGUAAUGUGAAUUGCAGAAUUCAGUGAAUCAUCGAAUCUUUGAACGCACAUUGCGCCCGUCAGUAUUCUGGCGGGCAUGCCUGUUCGAGCGUCAUUACGCCCCUCAAGUCCCCUGUGGACUUUGUGUUGGGGAUCGGCGAGGCUGGUUUUCCAGCACAGCCGUCCCUUAAAUUAAUUGGCGGUCUCGCCGUGGCCCUCCUCUGCGCAGUAGUAAAACACUCGCAACAGGAGCCCGGCGCGGUCCACUGCCGUAAAACCCCCCAACUUUUUAUAGUUGACCUCGAAUCAGGUAGGACUACCCGCUGAACUUAAGCAUAUCAAUAAGCGGAGGA